CUACAUUCUCGGCCUUUUGGCUAACAUCAAGUGUUGUGUCUGUCCGUAUCAGUUUAAUAUCUGAUACGUCUUCGAUGUGAAGAUGCUGUAUUAAGCGGAUUUUUGGAGUAAGGAGGUGGGUUGGGAGCUUGCUCUAUCCCCUCCAAGCAUCGGCUUGGUAUUGCAGUGCUACCAGGAUGGGUGCCUUCCCC
Small nuclear RNA from Tachyglossus aculeatus (Australian echidna), 191 nucleotides. RefSeq annotates it as U2 spliceosomal RNA. The record is from RefSeq and is a predicted model, not a curated record. The transcript has a single exon. NCBI's taxonomy places the organism in Eukaryota, Metazoa, Chordata, Mammalia, Monotremata, Tachyglossidae.